GACGAACGCUGGCGGCGUGCCUAAUACAUGCAAGUAGAACGCUGAAGGAGGAGCUUGCUUCUCUGGAUGAGUUGCGAACGGGUGAGUAACGCGUAGGUAACCUGCCUGGUAGCGGGGAUAACUAUUGGAAACGAUAGCUAAUACCGCAUAAUAUUGACUAUUGCAUGAUAGUCAGUUGAAAGGUGCAACUGCACCACUACCAGAUGGACCUGCGUUUGAUUAGCUAGUUGGUGGGGUAACGGCUCACCAAGGCGACGAUACAUAGCCGACCUGAGAGGGUGAUCGGCCACACUGGGACUGAGACACGGCCCAGACGCCGACGGGAGGCAGCAGUAGGGAAUCUUCGGAAAUGGACGGAAGUCUGACCGAGCAACGCCGCGUGAGUGAAGAAGGUUUUCGGAUCGUAAAGCUCUGUUGUAAGAGAAGAACGAGUGUGAGAGUGGAAAGCUCACACUGUGACGGUAUCUUACCAGAAAGGGACGGCUAACUACGUG
RNAcentral lists this ribosomal RNA (494 nucleotides) under uncultured bacterium. RNAcentral describes it as "partial 16S ribosomal RNA". It matches the Rfam family "Bacterial small subunit ribosomal RNA", at positions 28 to 507 of the family's 1533-position model. The record is from RNAcentral.